CAGUAGCCACGGUAAUACGAAGGUCCCGAGCGUUGUUCGGAAUCACUGGGCGUAAAGGGAGCGUAGGCGGCGUGGUAAGUCAGAUGUGAAAUCCCGGGGCUCAACCCCGGAACUGCAUCCGAUACUGCCAUGCUAGAGGAUUGGAGAGGUAGCUGGAAUUCUUGGUGUAGCAGUGAAAUGCGUAGAGAUCAAGAGGAACACUCGUGGCGAAAGCGAGCUACUGGACAAUAACUGACGCUGAGGCUCGAAGGCCAGGGUAGCGAAAGGGAUUAGAUACCCCAGUAGUCCCUGUCUCUUAUAU
Molecule: ribosomal RNA, 301 nt
Filed under: uncultured bacterium
Lineage: Bacteria
Description: partial 16S ribosomal RNA
Rfam family: Bacterial small subunit ribosomal RNA
Source: RNAcentral